GCGGCUGUAGUCUAGUGGUUAGGACGGAAGCUUCCCAAGCUUCUAACUCGGGUUCGAAUCCCGGCAGCCGCA
This 72-nucleotide transfer RNA is filed under the name Thermoplasmatales archaeon. RNAcentral's name for it is "tRNA-Gly". It matches the Rfam family "tRNA". From Rfam's summary of the family: Transfer RNA (tRNA) molecules are approximately 80 nucleotides in length. Their secondary structure includes four short double-helical elements and three loops (D, anti-codon, and T loops). RNAcentral also lists the same sequence under 1 other name. Lineage: Archaea; Methanobacteriati; Thermoplasmatota; Thermoplasmata; Thermoplasmatales. The record is from RNAcentral.